RNAcentral lists this ribosomal RNA (459 nucleotides) under Tanystylum orbiculare. RNAcentral's name for it is "partial 16S ribosomal RNA". The record is from RNAcentral. Lineage: Eukaryota; Metazoa; Arthropoda; Pycnogonida; Pantopoda; Tanystylidae.
GCUUAAAGAAUAGUUAAUUUUAGGUCUGACCUGCUCAAUGAAAUUUUUUUAAAUAGCCGCAGUAAAUUGACUGUGCUAAGGUAGCAUAAUAAUUAGUCUUUUAAUUGGAGACUGGAAUGAAUGGUUUAACGUAAAGUAGCUGUCUUUAUAAUUUUUAGUUGAAUUUAAUUUUUUAUUUAAAAAGAUAAAUAAAUACUAUUAAGGGACGAGAAGACCCUAUCAAGUUUUAUUUAUUAAAAUUAUACAACAGAGUAUAUCUUUUUUAAAUUUGUUUGGGGCGGAAAAAAUAGAUUAUCUUUAUUUUAAUUUUAAAUAAUUAUUAAUUUAUUAAUGAUCUUUUAUAAAAAUUGUUAGAAUAAAUUACUGUAGGGAUAACAGAGUUAUUUCUUUAAAAAGUUCAUAUUUAUAAAGAAGAUUACUACCUCGAGCGGCAUUAAAAUUUAAAGCUCUAUAAUAAGU